RNAcentral lists this ribosomal RNA (477 nucleotides) under uncultured bacterium. RNAcentral's name for it is "SSU rRNA". It matches the Rfam family "Bacterial small subunit ribosomal RNA", at positions 26 to 518 of the family's 1533-position model. The record is from RNAcentral.
AGGACGAACGCUGGCGGCGUGCUUAACACAUGCAAGUCGAACGGAAAGGCCCGCUUGCGGGUACUCGAGUGGCGAACGGGUGAGUAACACGUGGGCAACCUGCCCUCAGCUUCGGGAUAACACUUGGAAACAGGUGCUAAUACCGGAUAAUAACCUUUCAUCGCAUGGUGGUUGGUUCAAAGUUUUUCGGCUGAGGAUGGGCCCGCGGCCUAUCAGCUUGUUGGUGGGGUAAUGGCCUACCAAGGCGACGACGGGUAGCCGGCCUGAGAGGGCGACCGGCCACACUGGGACUGAGACACGGCCCAGACUCCUACGGGAGGCAGCAGUGGGGAAUAUUGCGCAAUGGGCGAAGCCUGACGCAGCGACGCCGCGUGAGGGAUGACGGCCUUCGGGUUGUAAACCUCUUUCAGCUCUGACGAAGCGCAAGUGACGGUAGGAGCAGAAGAAGCGACCGGCCAACUACGCGCCAGCAGCCGC